This is a non-coding RNA of Rattus norvegicus (Norway rat), 1431 nucleotides long. The record is from RefSeq and is a predicted model, not a curated record. NCBI's taxonomy places the organism in Eukaryota, Metazoa, Chordata, Mammalia, Rodentia, Muridae.
CUCAUCCAAAAAAAUUUGUUACCAUUCAGGAUGUUUGUCAUCAGGGACUCCUGAGAAAGCAACUUAUUCUUCAGGAAGCUCUCUUACUGCUGUGUGUCCAAUUCCAGCUCUCUUGCACUUUCUGAGACCUGGGAGAGGAAGGCAGUUUUUCAGACACUGAUUUGGUGGUGAAAUGCAAGGCAGCUGUCGGAAGGCUGCCUUCUACCAUCUCAGUUCUAUUGGACAGUCAACAUGGACCUUUUAACUGAUAUCAUUGUUGCUAACUCUUUGGGAAGGGCAAAAUCUCCAGAGAGCCUCAAAGUAAUGUGGGCUGCCAAUAUGGGACCCAGACUUAUACCAGUGCAAACCAAGAACAGGGCAAUGGAAGGAACCUCAUUGGGUUGCAGGAAGAAAGUAGAUGUCCAUAUGUCACCAAGGUUAAAACCAAUGACAAGUUCUAAUUUGACAUUUGCACUUUGUUCUUAUCCCGCAAAGGUGCUUCCUACACAAGAAGUCACAUGACCACAGAGUGUCAUUUGUCAAAGAACCAAGAACUUGUUCAAAACUCUACAGAGCAUCCAAUCUAUCACGUGGAUAUGCAAUAAUGAGAGCCUUCUGAAGAUGCCUAGACAAUCCUGGGAUGAAUAACAGUCUUUUAUGGAACUGAAAACUGAGUCCUAAUGACCCUGGCACACUGAUGUGUAAACAGCACAAGAGAUAGAACCAGAGCUGAAGACCAUGCAAUCCAGAACAAAGAAAGUCAGAAAUGGCCAUUCCAGAAGUGAUAUCCUUUCUGACCAGGACUUACCUAGAGAAGAUGCUCCAGUUGCUGUGGCCCAUUGCUAGAAAGGUCAGCAUAAGCCUGCAGCCCCCCCUGGCAGGAAGCUCAAAAUACACUGCCCAGAACUUACUCAACAUUCCCCAGAAGUGCUGUCUUUGUCCAUCAUUACUUUGAGACGAAAGGCCAGACUUCUUCACUCUAGUCUCUCCACAAUCGACGUUCACCCUCCCAAAACGCUUGCGAAGACGGGAAAACAUGUCUUAGCUUGUAACCGCCAGACUCAGACUGAGAGAAACUAGGGCACUGGUUGUCACUACAACACUGGUGACAUCACAGAGGAUGCCAGAACUCUCUAGGAGACAAUAGAAUGUCCAAGAAGGGACAGCUGAUGUCAUGGGGCGCAGACUUUGCCUCCUGCUAAUGUUCUCCCUGUACUGAGCAUAAGCAGAGGUGCCCUUUCCAGGAGACUUUCCUGGGGCAGAGCCACUGAGCAUCUCCUGCUUCCAAAGCCAAAUUUUCCUCAAGGCUUGAUUAUAAAAACCUUAGUAAUUCUUAUGUAUCUAAAUGAAUGAUUCCUUCCAUAUCUUGCCCCAAAAUGUCUCAUCCUAACUCAAAUUGUCCACAUUCACCAAUGUUAGCCAUUAAAACUUCCUGAGAUUUCAUACCAGCUU